This 446-nucleotide ribosomal RNA is filed under the name uncultured bacterium. RNAcentral's name for it is "bacterial SSU rRNA". It matches the Rfam family "Bacterial small subunit ribosomal RNA", at positions 330 to 792 of the family's 1533-position model. The record is from RNAcentral.
ACCAGACUCCUACGGGAGGCAGCAGUGGGGAAUAUUGCACAAUGGGGGAAACCCUGAUGCAGCGACGCCGCGUGAGUGAAGAAGUAUUUCGGUAUGUAAAGCUCUAUCAGCAGGAACGAGACAAGACGGUACCUGACUAAGAAGCCCCGGCUAACUACGUGCCAGCAGCCGCGGUAAUACGUAGGGGGCAAGCGUUAUCCGGAAUCACUGGGUGUAAAGGGAGCGUAGACGGCUGAGCAAGCCUGAAGUGAAAGGCGGGGGCCCAACCCCUGGACUGCUUUGGGAACUGUACGGCUGGAGUGCAGGAGAGGUAAGUGGAAUUCCUAGUGUAGCGGUGAAAUGCGUAGAUAUUAGGAGGAACACCAGUGGCGAAGGCGGCUUACUGGACUGUAACUGACGUUGAGGCUCGAAAGCGUGGGGAGCAAACAGGAUUAGAUACCCGCGUA